AAACAUGAGAGUUUGAUCCUGGCUCAGGAUGAACGCUGGCGGCGCGCCUAACACAUGCAAGUCGAACGGACGAUGAAGAGCUUGCUUUUCAAAGUUAGUGGCGGACGGGUGAGUAACGCGUGGGUAACCUGCCUCAUACAGGGGAAUAGCAGCUGGAAACGGCUGAUAAAACCGCAUAAGCGCACAGUGCCGCAUGGCACAGUGUGAAAAACUCCGGUGGUAUGAGAUGGACCCGCGUCUGAUUAGCUUGUUGGCGGGGUAACGGCCCACCAAGGCGACGAUCAGUAGCCGGCCUGAGAGGGUGAUCGGCCACAUUGGGACUGAGACACGGCCCAAACUCCUACGGGAGGCAGCAGUGGGGAAUAUUGCACAAUGGGGGAAACCCUGAUGCAGCGACGCCGCGUGAGCGAUGAAGUAUUUCGGUAUGUAAAGCUCUAUCAGCAGGGAAGAUAAUGACGGUACCUGACUAAGAAGCCCCGGCUAACUACGUGCCAGCAGCCGCGGUAAUACGUAGGGUGCAAGCGUUAUCCGGAAUUAUUGGGCGUAAAGGGCUCGUAGGCGGUUCGUCGCGUCCGGUGUGAAAGUCCAUCGCUUAACGGUGGAUCCGCGCCGGGUACGGGCGGGCUUGAGUGCGGUAGGGGAGACUGGAAUUCCCGGUGUAACGGUGGAAUGUGUAGAUAUCGGGAAGAACACCAAUGGCGAAGGCAGGUCUCUGGGCCGUUACUGACGCUGAGGAGCGAAAGCGUGGGGAGCGAACAGGAUUAGAUACCCUGGUAGUCCACGCCGUAAACGGUGGAUGCUGGAUGUGGGGACCAUUCCACGGUCUCCGUGUCGGAGCCAACGCGUUAAGCAUCCCGCCUGGGGAGUACGGCCGCAAGGCUAAAACUCAAAGAAAUUGACGGGGGCCCGCACAAGCGGCGGAGCAUGCGGAUUAAUUCGAUGCAACGCGAAGAACCUUACCUGGGCUUGACAUGUUCCCGACCGCGGCAGAGAUGUCGUUUCCCUUCGGGGCGGGUUCACAGGUGGUGCAUGGUCGUCGUCAGCUCGUGUCGUGAGAUGUUGGGUUAAGUCCCGCAACGAGCGCAACCCCCGCCGCGUGUUGCCAUCGGGUGAUGCCGGGAACCCACGCGGGACCGCCGCCGUCAAGGCGGAGGAGGGCGGGGACGACGUCAAGUCAUCAUGCCCCUUAUGCCCUGGGCUGCACACGUGCUACAAUGGCCGGUACAGAGGGAUGCCACCCCGCGAGGGGGAGCGGAUCCCGGAAAGCCGGCCCCAGUUCGGAUUGGGGGCUGCAACCCGCCCCCAUGAAGUCGGAGUUGCUAGUAAUCGCGGAUCAGCAUGCCGCGGUGAAUGCGUUCCCGGGCCUUGUACACACCGCCCGUCACACCACCCGAGUCGUCUGCACCCGAAGUCGCCGGCCCAACCGCAAGGGGGGAGGCGCCGAAGGUGUGGAGGGUGAGGGGGGUGAAGUCGUAACAAGGUAGCCGUACCGGAAGGUGCGGCUGGAUCACCUCCUUU
This 1518-nucleotide ribosomal RNA is filed under the name Bifidobacterium sp. RNAcentral describes it as "bacterial SSU rRNA". It matches the Rfam family "Bacterial small subunit ribosomal RNA". The record is from RNAcentral. Lineage: Bacteria; Bacillati; Actinomycetota; Actinomycetes; Bifidobacteriales; Bifidobacteriaceae.